RNAcentral lists this ribosomal RNA (346 nucleotides) under Pheidole metana. RNAcentral describes it as "partial 16S large subunit ribosomal RNA". Lineage: Eukaryota; Metazoa; Arthropoda; Insecta; Hymenoptera; Formicidae. The record is from RNAcentral.
AAUAGUUUUUUAAAUGGAAACUGGGAUGAAAGAAGUGAUGAGAUUUAUACUGUCUUGAAUUAAAUAAUUAAAUUUAUUAAUUAAGUAAAAAUACUUAGAUAGUAAUAUGGGACGAGAAGACCCUAUAGAAUUUUAUAUAAAUUUGUUAUUAAAUUUAGUAACAUAAUAUUAAUAAGUUUGUAUUUUAUUGGGAGGAUAAUUAAAUUAUGAAAACUUUAAUAAAUAGGUAAAUCAUUAAUGAAUGAGUUAAUAUAAAAAGAAUGAGUAGUAAAUUUAAAUAGAAUUAAUUACCUUAGGGAUAACAGCGUAAUAUUUUUGGAGAGAUCUUAUUAAUAAAAAUGAUUGC